AAGACUUAGUCCUAACCUUACCAUUAAUUCUUGUCAGACCUAUACAUGCAAGUAUCUGCGUCCCAGUGUAAAUGCCCCCAGCCCCUUACCAAGGCAAGGGGAGCGGGCAUCAGGCACACCUACCGUAGCCCAAGACGCCUUGCUUAGCCACACCCCCACGGGUACUCAGCAGUAAUUAACAUUAAGCAAUAAGUGCAAACUUGACUUAGUCAUGACAACAUUUAGGGUUGGUAAAUCUUGUGCCAGCCACCGCGGUCAUACAAGAAACCCAAAUUAAUUGUCCACGGCGUAAAGAGUGGUCCAACACUAUCGUCCCCGCCUGAGGCCAAAACAUGCCUAAGCUGUCAUAAGCCCAAGACAUCCCUAAGCCCCCCAAUGUAACCCCACCUCAGCCUCAACGACUAACUACCCCCACGAAAGCCAGGAAACAAACUGGGAUUAGAUACCCCACUAUGCCCGGCCAUAAAUUUAAGUGCUUCUCCCCCAACCAAAGCAUUCGCCAGGGAACUACGAGCACAAACGCUUAAAACCCUAAGGACUUGGCGGUGUCCCAAACCCACCUAGAGGAGCCUGUUCUAUAAUCGAUAACCCACGCUACACCCAACCCCCCCUUGCCCUAAGCAGCCUAUAUACCGCCGUCGCCAGCUCACCUCCCCUGAGAGCCCAACAGUGAACACAACAGUCUCACCCACUAGAAAGACAGGUCAAGGUACAGCCCAUGGGGGGGAAAGAAAUGGGCUACAUUUUCUGACCCAGAGAACCCCUAACGGAAGAGGACUUGAAAACAGCCCUCAGAAGGCGGAUUUAGCAGUAAGACAUAACCACCAUGCUUGUCUUAAGCCGGCCCUAGGACACGUACAUACCGCCCGUCACCCUCAUCGCAAGCACACCUCCCCCCCAAUUAGAACCUCAACCAGCCAAAGACGAGGUAAGUCGUAACAAGGUAAGUGUACCGGAAGGUGCACUUAGCAUAC
RNAcentral lists this non-coding RNA (974 nucleotides) under Mulleripicus funebris (sooty woodpecker). RNAcentral describes it as "12S ribosomal RNA". It matches the Rfam family "Bacterial small subunit ribosomal RNA". Lineage: Eukaryota; Metazoa; Chordata; Aves; Piciformes; Picidae. The record is from RNAcentral.